Molecule: ribosomal RNA, 482 nt
Filed under: uncultured bacterium
Lineage: Bacteria
Description: partial 16S ribosomal RNA
Rfam family: Bacterial small subunit ribosomal RNA
Source: RNAcentral
AGUGAACGCUGGCGGCGUGCUUAACACAUGCAAGUCGAACGGUAGCAGAUAGAAGCUUGCUUCUAUGCUGACGAGUGGCGCACGGGUGGGUAAUGUAUAGCUAACGUGCCCCUUAGAGGGGGAUAACAGUUGGAAACGGCUGCUAAUACCCCAUACUCCUUCUAUCUUAAUGAUAGUUGGGAAAUGUUUUUUCGCUAAGGGAUCGGGCUAUAUGGUAUCAGCUAGUUGGUGAGGUAAUGGCUCACCAAGGCAAUGACACCUAGCUGGUCUGAGAGGAUGAUCAGCCACACUGGAACUGAGACACGGUCCAGACUCCUACGGGAGGCAGCAGUGGGGAAUAUUGCACAAUGGGGGGAACCCUGAUGCAGCAACGCCGCGUGGAGGAUGACGCAUUUCGGUGCGUAAACUCCUUUUAUAUAGGAAGAUAAUGACGGUACUAUAUGAAUAAGCACCGGCUAACUCCGUGCCAGCCGCCGCAGUAA